This 1466-nucleotide ribosomal RNA is filed under the name human gut metagenome. RNAcentral's name for it is "bacterial LSU rRNA". It matches the Rfam family "Bacterial large subunit ribosomal RNA", at positions 832 to 2280 of the family's 2925-position model. The record is from RNAcentral.
AUCAAACCGGGAGAUAGCUGGUUCUCCCCGAAAUCUAUUUAGGUAGAGCCUUGAGCGGACACCUUCGGGGGUAGAGCACUGUUUCGGCUAGGGGUCCAUCCCGGAUUACCAACCCGAUGCAAACUACGAAUACCGAAGAGUGAUACUCAGGAGACACACGGCGGGUGCUAACGUCCGUCGUGGAGAGGGAAACAACCCAGACCGCCAGCUAAGGUCCCAAAGUCUAUAUUAAGUGGGAAACGAAGUGGGAAGGCUUAGACAGCUAGGAUGUUGGCUUAGAAGCAGCCAUCAUUUAAAGAAAGCGUAAUAGCUCACUAGUCGAGUCGGCCUGCGCGGAAGAUGUAACGGGGCUCAAAUAUAGCACCGAAGCUGCGGCAUCAGUAGCAAUACUGUUGGGUAGGGGAGCGUUCUGUAAGCGGAUGAAGGUGAAUCGAGAGGUUUGCUGGACGUAUCAGAAGUGCGAAUGCUGACAUAAGUAACGAUAAAGCGGGUGAAAAGCCCGCUCGCCGGAAGACCAAGGGUUCCUGUCCAACGUUAAUCGGGGCAGGGUGAGUCGGCCCCUAAGGCGAGGCUGAAAAGCGUAGUCGAUGGGAAACGGGUUAAUAUUCCCGUACUUGGAUAAACUGCGAUGUGGGGACGGAGCAGGUUAGGUUAUCGCACUGUUGGAUAUGUGCGUUUAAGUUGGUAGGUGUGAAGUUUAGGCAAAUCCGGACUUCUAUAACACCGAGAGAUGAUGACGAGGCUCUACGGAGCUGAAGUAACCGAUACCACACUUCCAGGAAAAGCCACUAAGCUUCAGGUUUAUCUAAACCGUACUGAAAACCGACACAGGUGGUCAGGUAGAGAAUACUCAGGCGCUUGAGAGAACUCGGGUGAAGGAACUAGGCAAAAUAGCACCGUAACUUCGGGAGAAGGUGCGCCGGCGUAGAUUGUAGUCCCUUGCGGGCGAAGGUUGAACCGGUCGAAGAUACCAGCUGGCUGCAACUGUUUAUUAAAAACACAGCACUCUGCAAACACGAAAGUGGACGUAUAGGGUGUGAUGCCUGCCCGGUGCUGGAAGGUUAAUUGAUGGUGUAAUCGAAAGAGAAGCUCCUGAUCGAAGCCCCAGUAAACGGCGGCCGUAACUAUAACGGUCCUAAGGUAGCGAAAUUCCUUGUCGGGUAAGUUCCGACCUGCACGAAUGGCAUAAUGAUGGCCAGGCUGUCUCCACCCGAGACUCAGUGAAAUUGAAAUCGCCGUGAAGAUGCGGUGUACCCGCGGCUAGACGGAAAGACCCCGUGAACCUUUACUAUAGCUUGACACUGAACAUUGAAUUUUGAUGUGUAGGAUAGGUGGGAGACUUAGAAGUAGUGCACGCCAGUGAUUAUGGAGUCGACCUUGAAAUACCACCCUUUAACGUUUGAUGUUCUAACGAAGAUUACGAAACGUGGUCUCGGACAGUGUCUGGUGGGUAGUUUGACUGGGGC